RNAcentral lists this ribosomal RNA (408 nucleotides) under uncultured bacterium. Its description in RNAcentral is "partial 16S ribosomal RNA". It matches the Rfam family "Bacterial small subunit ribosomal RNA", at positions 28 to 526 of the family's 1533-position model. The record is from RNAcentral.
GACGAACGCUGGCGGCGUGCUUAACACAUGCAAGUCGAACGAAGUGGCGAACGGGUGAGUAACGCGUAAUCAACCUGCCCUUCAGAGGGGGACAAAAGUUGGAAACGACUGCUAAUACCGCAUACUGAAGGAGGGGAUUGCGUCUGAUUAGCUGGUUGGAGGGGUAACGGCCCAACAAGGGGAAGAUCAGUAGCCGGGCCGAGAGGAUUAACGGCCAAAUUUGGACUGGGACACGGCCCAGACUCCUACGGGAGGCAGCAGUGGGGAAUCUUCCGAAAUGGACGAAAGUCUGACGGAGCAACGCCGCGUGAGUGAUGACGGCCUUCGGGUUGUAAAGCUCUGUUAAUCGGGACGCGGUACCGGAAUAGAAAGCCACGGCUAACUCCGUGCCAGCAGCCGCGGUAAUAC